AAUAAAAUGACUCUCGGCAACGGAUAUCUCAGCUCUUGCAUCGAUGAAGAACGUAGCGAAAUGCGAUACUUGGUGUGAAUUGCAGAAUCCCGUGAACCAUCGAGUCUUUGAACACAAGUUGCGCAUGAAGCCUCCUAGCCGAGGGCACGUCUGUCUGGGCAUCA
RNAcentral lists this ribosomal RNA (164 nucleotides) under Rheum tanguticum. RNAcentral describes it as "5.8S ribosomal RNA". It matches the Rfam family "5.8S ribosomal RNA". From Rfam's summary of the family: 5.8S ribosomal RNA (5.8S rRNA) is a component of the large subunit of the eukaryotic ribosome. The record is from RNAcentral. Lineage: Eukaryota; Viridiplantae; Streptophyta; Magnoliopsida; Caryophyllales; Polygonaceae.